Molecule: ribosomal RNA, 406 nt
Filed under: uncultured Acetobacterium sp.
Lineage: Bacteria; Bacillati; Bacillota; Clostridia; Eubacteriales; Eubacteriaceae
Description: bacterial SSU rRNA
Rfam family: Bacterial small subunit ribosomal RNA
Source: RNAcentral
GGGGAAUAUUGCGCAAUGGGGGAAACCCUGACGCAGCAAUACCGCGUGAGUGAAGAAGGUUUUCGGAUCGUAAACCUCUUUCAGCAGGGAAGAAGCGAAAGUGACGGUACCUGCAGAAGAAGCGCCGGCUAACUACGUGCCAGCAGCCGCGGUAAUACGUAGGGGACAAGCGUUGUCCGGAUUUACUGGGCGUAAAGGGCACGCAGGCGGUUUUUUAAGUCAGAUGUGAAAGGUACCGGCUCAACCGGUGACAUGCAUUUGAAACUGAAAGACUUGAGUAUUGGAGAGGCAAGUGGAAUUCCUAGUGUAGCGGUGAAAUGCGUAGAUAUUAGGAGGAACACCGGUGGCGAAGGCGGCUUGCUGGACAAAUACUGACGCUGAGGUGCGAAAGCGUGGGGAGCAAACA